Molecule: small RNA, 1206 nt
Filed under: uncultured bacterium
Lineage: Bacteria
Description: bacterial SSU rRNA
Rfam family: Bacterial small subunit ribosomal RNA (bases 1-487)
Source: RNAcentral
AUGGCUGUCGUCAGCUCGUGUCGUGAGAUGUUGGGUUAAGUCCCGCAACGAGCGCAACCUUCAUCUCUAGUUACCAGCAGUUCGGCUGGGUACUUUAGAGAAACUGCCGGUGAUAAGCCGGAGGAAGGAGAAGAUGACGUCAAGUCCUCAUGGCCCUUAUGGGCUGGGCUACACACGUGCUACAAUGGUAGUUACAAUGAGUCGCAAAGGGGCAACCCUGAGCUAAUCUCAAAACACUAUCUCAGUUCGGAUUGUACUCUGCAACUCGAGUACAUGAAGUUGGAAUCGCUAGUAAUCGCGGAUCAGCAUGCCGCGGUGAAUACGUUCCCGGGCCUUGUACACACCGCCCGUCACACCAUGGGAGUUGGUUUCACUUGAAGACGGCUUACUAACCGCAAGGAAGUAGCCGGCCACGGUGAGAUUAGCGACUGGGGUGAAGUCGUAACAAGGUAGCCGUAGGGGAACCUGCGGCUGGAUCACCUCCUUUCUAAGGAAGGAUCCGGAUAGUCUUUUAUUAUUCGGAUUAAAAAAAAUAUACGACGCUGUCUUCGCAUCCCUUUUAUAUAGAUCUUAUUUUGGGUUUAGGCUUUGAAUGUUUGAAUCUCCGUUUCGGGCCAGUAGCUCAGUUGGUUAGAGCGCGCGCUUGAUAAGCGUGAGGUCGGAAGUUCAAAUCUUCCCUGGCCCACCAAUUAUCGUGGGGGCGUAGCUCAGUUGGGAGAGCGGUAGCUUUGCAAGCUUCAGGUCGUCGGUUCGAUCCCGUCCGCCUCCACCAUUGAGUUUAUUCUUGAUGAACUCUAUUUUUUUGCUAUAAGAAUAAUCACAUUUAACCUACGGAGUUUUUGUAAGAAUAUAAACUUGUAUAUGACUUAGUAGGUAGAUUUACUAUUGUUCUUUCUCAUUGUGAAGAAGUGUUAAAUUCAUGUGAAUUCACCCGGAUUUUGGGUAUUUGCAUGAAAUUUACAAUACCUUGGUGCAUACACAAGCGUUUGUAUGUUCUAGGGUAUUCUGCAUCUUAAUUAAUACACAAUUCUGAAUCACAUGACUUUUGUAUGUGAUAAGAGUUUGAGAUCUGAAUCAAGUGUUUCAAAAGGGCGUUUGGUGGAUGCCUUGGCAUUGAGAGGCGAUGAAGGACGUAGUACGUUGCGAUAAGUCUCGGGGAGCUGCGAACAGGUUUUGAUCCGAGAAUCUCCGAAUGGGGAAACCCGG